This 207-nucleotide ribosomal RNA is filed under the name uncultured bacterium. Its description in RNAcentral is "partial 16S ribosomal RNA". It matches the Rfam family "Bacterial small subunit ribosomal RNA", at positions 568 to 774 of the family's 1533-position model. The record is from RNAcentral.
CGUGUAGGCGGCCAGAUAAGUCCGCUGUGAAAUCUCGAGGCUCAACUUCGAGCUGUCGGUGGAAACUGUCUGGCUAGAGUCCGGAAGAGGAGAAUGGAAUUCCUGGUGUAGCGGUGAAAUGCGCAGAUAUCAGGAAGAACACCCGUGGCGAAGGCGGUUCUCUGGGACGGUACUGACGCUGAGACGCGAAAGCGUGGGGAGCGAACA